This 253-nucleotide ribosomal RNA is filed under the name uncultured bacterium. RNAcentral's name for it is "partial 16S ribosomal RNA". It matches the Rfam family "Bacterial small subunit ribosomal RNA", at positions 524 to 776 of the family's 1533-position model. The record is from RNAcentral.
UACGUAGGUGGCAAGCGUUGUCCGGAAUUAUUGGGCGUAAAGAGCUCGUAGGCGGUCUGUCGCGUCGGCUGUGAAAACCCGGAGCUCAACUCCGGGCCUGCAGUCGAUACGGGCAGACUGGAGUUCGGCAGGGGAGACUGGAAUUCCUGGUGUAGCGGUGAAAUGCGCAGAUAUCAGGAGGAACACCGGUGGCGAAGGCGGGUCUCUGGGCCGAUACUGACGCUGAGGAGCGAAAGCGUGGGGAGCGAACAGG